GUGUAGGUCUUUGCAUACU
This 19-nucleotide small nuclear RNA is filed under the name Arabidopsis thaliana (thale cress). RNAcentral's name for it is "snRNA_10774". Lineage: Eukaryota; Viridiplantae; Streptophyta; Magnoliopsida; Brassicales; Brassicaceae. The record is from RNAcentral.